This 253-nucleotide ribosomal RNA is filed under the name uncultured bacterium. RNAcentral describes it as "partial 16S ribosomal RNA". It matches the Rfam family "Bacterial small subunit ribosomal RNA", at positions 524 to 776 of the family's 1533-position model. The record is from RNAcentral.
UACAGAGGUGGCGAGCGUUACUCGGAUUUAUUGGGUGUAAAGGGCAAGUAGGCGUCUUAACAAGUUAGGAGUGAAAUCCUGCAGCUCAACUGCAGAACUGCUUUUAAAACUGUUAAGAUUGAGACUGGGAGAGGAAAGCGGAAUUCUCGGUGUAAGAGUGAAAUCUGUAGAUAUCGAGAGGAACACCAGUGGCGAAGGCGGCUUUCUGGUCCAGUACUGACGCUGAAUUGCGAAAGCUAGGGGAGCAAACAGG